RNAcentral lists this ribosomal RNA (253 nucleotides) under uncultured bacterium. Its description in RNAcentral is "partial 16S ribosomal RNA". It matches the Rfam family "Bacterial small subunit ribosomal RNA", at positions 524 to 776 of the family's 1533-position model. The record is from RNAcentral.
UACGGGGGGAGCAAGCGUUGUUCGGAUUUACUGGGCGUAAAGGGAGCGUAGGCGGACAUUUAAGUCGGGGGUGAAAUCCCAGAGCUCAACUCUGGAACUGCCUUUGAUACUGGGUGUCUUGAGUGUGAUAGAGGUAUGUGGAACUCCGAGUGUAGAGGUGAAAUUCGUAGAUAUUCGGAAGAACACCAGUGGCGAAGGCGGGUCACUGGCUCGGUACUGACGCUGAGGUGCGAAAGCGUGGGGAGCAAACAGG